This 107-nucleotide small nuclear RNA is filed under the name Vulpes vulpes (red fox). The record is from RNAcentral. Lineage: Eukaryota; Metazoa; Chordata; Mammalia; Carnivora; Canidae.
GUGCUCACUUCAGCAGUACAUAUACUAAGAUUGGAAUAAUAAAGAGAAGAAUAGCAUGGCCCCUGCACAAGAUGACAUGCAAAUUGUGUUCUGUGUCUUUAGUGUAU